This 979-nucleotide long non-coding RNA is filed under the name Mytilus galloprovincialis (Mediterranean mussel). The record is from RNAcentral. Lineage: Eukaryota; Metazoa; Mollusca; Bivalvia; Mytilida; Mytilidae.
CUUGAAAUAGAGAUUUUAGGUAUUGACGUUGUUUAUGAUAUUUAUUACGUGUAGUAGGGUUAUAUCUAUUCGUAUUUGUGUAUUUUCAGCCUCAAAUGUUCAGUCUUUUUGUUUGGUAAUAUGCGUUUGGUGUUGCUCAAUUUUUAUGUUCAUGUUUUUAUUGUGGCAUAAUUGCUUUCAAUUUGAUUAUUUGCUUUGUGUUUAACCCAUUUCGUUUUCCUUUGCUGAAAUAGUUACUUGUUUUAUUGGGAUUAAGAUUAUUACACAAUGUUUACUGCUAUACACCAUUCAUUUUUACCUAGUAUGGUUCUCUAUUUUUCUUACACUUUGUUGUUGUCAAGAAGGUAGAAUUUGAUGCAUCCGUCAUAUACUUGUAAGUGAGAGCUCUCUAUAAAACCGGCAUUUGCGUUGUUCCAAGUUAGAAUUAUUACAGUUGGUCUUCCAUUCGGUUGAUGUGUUAAGACUAAGAAGAUGUUUUGUUUCCUUAGGAGUUUAGUAUUUGUAGAAUUUAAUUUUACUACAUUUGUACUCUAAAAAACAAUAUUCCAACAAAUGAUUAUUUUCAAAUGGUAGCACCAAACCAGUAACACUCCUAGUAAAAAUACAACCAAUAGCAUGAUAUAUAUUAAUUCAUGGCUCUUUUCUUGGCUCAUUAUCAUAUAUAAUAUGACUGAAUCAUAAGUUAUAUAUUAAUUUCUCAUGCAAUCUGUAGGGGCUUUUAUUAUGUUACUGUCAUGUGUGAGUGUGAUUACCGAGGUAAAAUAACCACGUGUAUGUAAAUUCUAGGGGAUGUAUUUAUCAUAGCAUAAGAUAAAAGCUAUCAAAAUAUAAUACCAACGUAGGCUAUUGCAAAAAAUAACUUUAUGUACUUUUUUUAUGAACAGGUGUAUAUAACACAAAAACAAUGUUAAGCUUGUGGAACGUUGUCUCAUUGGCAAUCAUACCAAAUAUUCUUGUUUUAUAUUAAUAACAGUUUACA